This is a long non-coding RNA of Erigeron canadensis, 158 nucleotides long. RefSeq lists it as uncharacterized. The record is from RefSeq and is a predicted model, not a curated record. The transcript has 3 exons. Lineage: Eukaryota; Viridiplantae; Streptophyta; Magnoliopsida; Asterales; Asteraceae.
UGGGAACACUCCAAUGCAGGCGCCCGAACAUAACAGACCAGCGACAAAUACAGCACCCUCCGGUCUUCAAAAAUCCAAGAUACCCAAUCCAUGGGGGAGUUCUCCGAUCAUUUUUCGCAGCCGUCAUGUGCAUUUGGAGAAGGCCAGUAUGCGAGACA